CACGAAAACAGUUGAGCUAAAUAUUUAUGGUUUUUAGACCUAAUGUGUGUAACAUAACAUUAUAAAAUAACUAUUUAGAAGUGAUAGGCUUGUCAAAUCUGUAGAUAUCUUGAUAUCUUACUAAAACAUUUAGUGUAAAAGCAGUUUAACAGUGAUAAGGCUGUUAAUAAUUAUAAAUUUUUAUAAAAAUAUUAUUUAGCGGUUUAAUCACCUGAAUUUAACAUAUAAUACUAUUCUUCUAGUACUAUUAUAUUUUAAAUAAGAUUAUUGAUUAAUUAUUAUAUCAAGAGUUAAUGUAACUAUAAGUAAAAUAUAAUUAUUAAAAAUGAACUCGGCAAUAUACUUUUCAACUGUUUAUCAAAAACAUAGCUAUAUGUAUUUAAUAUAUAGUAAUUUCUGCUCCAUGGUAAACUAAAUAGCCGCAGUACCCUGACUGUGCAAAGGUAGCGUAAUAAUUUGACUUAUAAUUGAAGUCUCGUAUGAAUGAAAUAUUGGAAGGUAACUUUAUCUUUAGUAUUUAUUGAAAUUGCUAAGUGGGUGCAAAUACCCAUGAAUAAAAGAAAGACGAGAAGACCCUAGAAAUUUGAAUUAAUUGUAUAAAUUUCUUUUUGUUGGGGCAACAAGGUAACAAUUAAUUUACCAUUAUUACAAGAAAAUAUUAUUGUAAGAAUAAAUUACUCUAGGGAUAACAGCGUAAUUUAUAAUAGUUUGCGACCUCGAUGUUGGACUAGGAAACAAUUGUUUAAAA
This 748-nucleotide ribosomal RNA is filed under the name Cardiotrachia bastionensis. RNAcentral's name for it is "partial 16S ribosomal RNA". The record is from RNAcentral. Lineage: Eukaryota; Metazoa; Mollusca; Gastropoda; Stylommatophora; Camaenidae.